AAGGUAGCAUAAUCAAUAGUCUUUUAAUUGAAGGCUUGGAUGAAAGGUUUGACGGAGGGAGAGCUGUCUCCUUAGUUUAUACUGAAUUUAACAUUUGUGUGAAAAGGCAUAAAUAAUUUAAAGGGACGAUAAGACCCUAUAAAACUUUACAUAUUGAAAUUACUUAAUAAAAUUGAUAAAUAAUUAUUAGGCUAUUAAUUUUGUUUUGCUGGGGCGGCACGAAUAUAAAUUUUUAACUGUUUUUAAUAUAGAAUACAUAUCAGUAUAAUUUGGUCCUUUAUUAAGGAGAUAAGAGUAAGUUA
This 302-nucleotide ribosomal RNA is filed under the name Synalpheus cf. townsendi KMH-2014. RNAcentral's name for it is "partial 16S ribosomal RNA". The record is from RNAcentral. Lineage: Eukaryota; Metazoa; Arthropoda; Malacostraca; Decapoda; Alpheidae.